Long non-coding RNA from Aedes aegypti (yellow fever mosquito), 847 nucleotides. RefSeq lists it as uncharacterized. The transcript has 2 exons. The record is from RefSeq and is a predicted model, not a curated record. Lineage: Eukaryota; Metazoa; Arthropoda; Insecta; Diptera; Culicidae.
GAUAGGUGUAAUUAACAACUGGACUAAGAUCUCGGCUCACAGAGACAGUUCGUGACAGCAGAAUCUCGGCUCACCUUGACGUACAUAAAUUUCGUAUCGGUUUCUCGCUCCCAGUUUUUACCGAUGUUAAAAGGGCCCUCUUUGAAUGUUAGUCAGGGGUUUUUGUGCCGACUCUAUUUUAAUCGAUUGACUGAAUUGUAUCUGAGCACCCCUAGCGAGGCACAACUCGCACGGCGGAUCGCAACGAUCACAACCGCGAGUAAACAAACAACCGUUUUUUAAACCGCUGCAGUUCGGUAAGUGUUCGUCCGUAUUUUCUUGAAAUUUUUUAAAAAGCCGGAUUUUCGUCCGCGGGGGACAUCUGUGCUAUGUGCGAGUCCGGCUCGCCGUGAAGUAUCCUGGCCCGGUUGGAACAGCUUAAGCAAUGGAAUCAGGAAAAGCAGCGCGUUUUAUUGCAGAACCAAAUGGCCCAGCGGGAAUUGCUGAGCCAGUAACAGCAGAAGAUGUACGUCAUUCUGGGGCUGAAUCACGGGGGAGGGGAAAAUGACCCUAUACCGGAUGUUAGUGACGAGGACGAUUCGGAAUUUGAACAGACCAACAUGCAGCGAAAAGUGGCAGGAGAAUGGAGGCGAAGCGCUAGGGAACAACCUCCGGUUGAAAGUGACGAGGAGAUUGAGAGGGAACCAGUAAAACGGAGGGAUUUCAGCUGGACAAUUUGCCCAAAUAUAAGUAUGCCAAUCUCGCCAAAUCUAGAGCGCAAAAUGCCAAGAAACGACGGAUAAGUCUCAAAACCAUUCGGGUAGGAAUGCCGGAACGAGAGAAGAGUCGCCGCCGAGGGUGGCUUUGG